AUGGCUGGUACCGAAACAACUAGUCUCCAGGUCCCCAUGGCGUUCAAGGACGCCGACGACGGCACCAUCCCAGUGCGCCCUCCGACCGAGUAUGCCGCCGCCGUCGCGUCCCUCCCGACGAAUCCUGCCAGCAAGCUCAAGUUGCGCUGCUACCAGGGCGUGUGGGUGCUGGAGGACUGGGUACCCGGCAUCAUCGCCAUGCAGCGCAGCUUCUCAACGCGCCCCGGCGACGUGGUUCUUGCGAGCUUUCCCAAGUGCGGCACCACUUGGCUCAAGGCUCUGAUAUUCGCCACGAUGGCCCGCGCCGCGUACCCGCCGGCCAGCCCCGCCCACCCACUCCGCCGCCUCAACCCGCACGACUGUGUGAUUCUCUUGGACAGGCUCUUCGCCGUCGGCCGUGAGGCAGUGUUGGAGAGGCUGCCCUCGCCGAGGCUUAUGUGCACGCACAUGCCUCUCUCGGUGCUGCCGCCGUCUAUCUCUCGUGGACCAGACUGCAAAAUUGUCUACAUAUGCAGGGAUCAGAAGGACAUGGUUGUCUCGAUGUGGCACUUUGUCAAACGUGCUCAACCUGACAUGUCACUCGAAGAGGUGUUUGAGACGGUCUGUCAGGGCACAUGUUUUGCCGGGCCUGUCUGGGAUCACAUCCUCGGAUACUGGAGGGUAAGCAAUGCAGAGCCAAAUAGAGUGCUCUUCUUGACUUAUGAGCAGAUGCUUCAGGAUCCGGUUGACAAAGUCAGGAAGCUAGCUCAGUUCCUCGGGAGGCCAUUCUCCGACAUAGAGGAGGAGGCCGGUGCCGUCGCAGAGAUCGUUGAGCUCUGUAGCUUUGAGAAUCUGAAAAAUCUAGAGGCCAACAAGAAAGGCUCCCAGGGGGUGUUCCUGAAGUUCCCGCAUGACUCGUAUUUCAGGAAGGGGGUGGUGGGAGAUUGGGUGAACCACUUGACACCUGAGAUGGCUAUACGUUUGGAUGCCAUAUUCGAGGAGAAGUUCAACGGAUCAGGCUUGGCUCUCUCGUGA
RNAcentral lists this ribosomal RNA (1014 nucleotides) under Triticum aestivum (bread wheat). RNAcentral's name for it is "partial small subunit ribosomal RNA". The record is from RNAcentral. Lineage: Eukaryota; Viridiplantae; Streptophyta; Magnoliopsida; Poales; Poaceae.